RNAcentral lists this ribosomal RNA (379 nucleotides) under uncultured bacterium. RNAcentral's name for it is "bacterial SSU rRNA". It matches the Rfam family "Bacterial small subunit ribosomal RNA", at positions 521 to 896 of the family's 1533-position model. The record is from RNAcentral.
UAAUACGUAGGGGGCGAGCGUUGUCCGGAUUUAUUGGGCGUAAAGAGCUCGUAGGCGGUUUGGUAAGUCGGGUGUGAAAUCUCCAGGCUCAACCUGGAGAGGUCACCCGAGACUGCCAUGACUAGAGUCCGGUAGGGGUGUGUGGAAUUCCUGGUGGAGCGGUGAAAUGCGCAGAUAUCAGGAGGAACACCCGUAGCGAAGGCGGCACACUGGGCCGGUACUGACGCUGAGGAGCGAAAGCGUGGGGAGCAAACAGGAUUAGAUACCCUGGUAGUCCACGCCGUAAACGUUGGGCACUAGGUGUGGGACUCUAUCGACGGGUUCCGUGCCGUAGCUAACGCAUUAAGUGCCCCGCCUGGGGAGUACGGCCGCAAGGCUA